GAUGAGAGGACGGAGAAGGUUAAGUCAGCCUGGCGUUGGUUGUCCAGGUGGAAGGUUGUAGGCAUGUAUCUUAGGCAAAUCCGGGGUACUCUAUGCUGAGAACUGAUAGCAAGCUGUACUUGUACAGCGAAGUGGCAAAUACCCUGCUUCCAGGAAAAGCUUCUAAGCGAUAGUCAUAAAGAAAUCGUACCCUAAACCGACACAGGUGG
This 209-nucleotide ribosomal RNA is filed under the name Cyclophora tenuis. RNAcentral describes it as "partial Bacterial large subunit ribosomal RNA". It matches the Rfam family "Bacterial large subunit ribosomal RNA", at positions 1463 to 1666 of the family's 2925-position model. Lineage: Eukaryota; Bacillariophyta; Fragilariophyceae; Cyclophorales; Cyclophoraceae. The record is from RNAcentral.